UGCAAGUCGAACGAGAGAAUUGCUAGCUUGCUAAUAAUUCUCUAGUGGCGCACGGGUGAGUAACACGUGAGUAACCUGCCCCCAAGAGUGGGAUAGCCCCGGGAAACUGGGAUUAAUACCGCAUAAAAUCGCAAGAUUAAAGCAGCAAUGCGCUUGGGGAUGGGCUCGCGUCCUAUUAGUUAGUUGGUGAGGUAACGGCUCACCAAGGCGAUGACGGGUAGCCGGUCUGAGAGGAUGUCCGGCCACACUGGAACUGAGACACGGUCCAGACACCUACGGGUGGCAGCAGUCGAGAAUCAUUCACAAUGGGGGAAACCCUGAUGGUGCGACGCCGCGUGGGGGAAUGAAGGUCUUCGGAUUGUAAACCCCUGUCAUGUGGGAGCAAAUUAAAAAGAUAGUACCACAAGAGGAAGAGACGGCUAACUCUGUGCCAGCAGCCGCGGUAAUACAGAGGUCUCAAGCGUUGUUCGGAAUCACUGGGCGUAAAGCGUGCGUAGGCGGUUUCGUAAGUCGUGUGUGAAAGGCGGGGGCUCAACCCCCGGACUGCACAUGAUACUGCGAGACUAGAGUAAUGGAGGGGGAACCGGAAUUCUCGGUGUAGCAGUGAAAUG
RNAcentral lists this ribosomal RNA (611 nucleotides) under uncultured bacterium. RNAcentral's name for it is "bacterial SSU rRNA". It matches the Rfam family "Bacterial small subunit ribosomal RNA", at positions 56 to 688 of the family's 1533-position model. The record is from RNAcentral.